GACAGAGGGUGCAAACGUUGUUCGGAAUUACUGGGCGUAAAGCGCGUGUAGGCGGCUAAGUAAGUCGGGCGUGAAAUCCCACGGCUCAACCGUGGAAGUGCACUCGAAACUGCAUAGCUAGAGUCCUGGAGAGGAAGGUGGAAUGCUUGGUGUAGAGGUGAAAUUCGUAGAUAUCAAGCGGAACGCCGGUGGCGAAGGCGACUAACUGGACAUGUAUUGACGCUGAGGUGCGAAAGCGUGGGGAGCAAACAGG
This 253-nucleotide ribosomal RNA is filed under the name uncultured bacterium. Its description in RNAcentral is "partial 16S ribosomal RNA". It matches the Rfam family "Bacterial small subunit ribosomal RNA", at positions 524 to 776 of the family's 1533-position model. The record is from RNAcentral.